UUUCAUCUCCCAACCUCAUAAUUCUCAUUCUUUAAGCGGUAUCAUUUCUUGGAAUGUGUAGAAUAAGUUGUACUGCUUGGAGAAAUACUUUUAUACUUCCACUUUAUUUGUUAUAAUUUAUCAUUUUCUCAUGAUUUCUCUUGGAAUAAGUUUCACUAUCUCUGGAAUGUUUGGAAUAAGCUUCAAAUUUUACUCAGAAGCUUAGGAAUCAACUCAAGACUCUAUCGCCAUAGUCAGGAAGUGUGUAGAUAGCGAGAUAUUAUACAAGAGCUUUAGGUAGUGGAUUAAGUUUUAUAUUAAUAUACGUGCCAUCAUCGUCGUUAUCUGUAUCAGACAUAACAAAAUUACUACCAAAAGAUUCAUCAGAGGAGGAGGAGAAGAGGCCGCCAUUAUUAGGAGAGUUGAAGUCAAAGGAACUGCAUGAGAAACUCCUUCUUUAGUCCAGCUCUGCGCUUUUAAUCUGCAUGCUGGCUAGAUGCCCAAACAGGUUGGUAUGCCUGAAGCCUCUUUCCAGGUAUCUAAUGUCUGUAAGGUUGAACCAUAGAGAUUUUGAUGCUGUUAAUUGUCCCCGAACUCUAGUAGCACCGAUAUGGACUUUCUUGUUAUUAUUCACGGUGAUAAUAUGUAUUUUCUUAAUCUCAUAUUAUCGAGUUUAUUAUAUUUCCAUGGAAUUAUGUGUUGCUGCAGUUAACUGUUGCACAAAUCCCCUUAAACUAGUUACGGUUUGCAACUUUCAUACUUGGAGGAAAAAAAUGUAUGGUCUUCUUAGCGCUAGUGAAGUGUAUCUUGACAAGUAUUAGCUAACGUUCCUUUUGUCUUUUCAAAUGCUUUGGUUAUUUGAGUAACUAAUUUAGUGACUCACAUGAGUUUUUCCAAUAUGCUGAUCAACGAUGGAUGCAACUUAUUAACUCAGUCAUUAUGUUAGCAACCAAAUUAGCUUACAUUUGUAAUGUUCAAUAACAAAACCCACUGAUAUUAGAAUAACUGGUUGAUUAUUCUGGUGGUUUUUAGAAACAGGAAUGUCAGUAAUGAGUAGAUGAUAAAAAUGGAAGAUGUUGCGUACAUGGAUUUGGAUAGCAUUUAGUUAAUUAAUUUAUCUAUCUUUUCCCGAUUCUGAUGGACUAUAUGGAUGCUUAAUCAAUUGCAAGUUACCCAUUUCUUUUCAGUAUCUAUACAGGGGAAAGAAAUAAGGGAACAAGGUAUUACAUGACUCACAAGAAUUUUGUGGCCUAGGCGUUACUGAUCAUUGUACAGAUUAAAGUGCUGAAGUCUGAAGAACAAAUGCCGAGCAAGUAGAAGUAAUUGAAAAUGCUAAAGAACAAGUUAAAACACUAGAGGACCUUAUUUUCUAUUUUGUUUGGAGUUGUUAAAGAUGUUUGUGUUUGUAAUGCUACAAUUCUAUCUUCUGUUUUGUUAGGUGUUGACUUACAUAUUGUCAUACAAUUGGGAUUGGUAUA
This is a long non-coding RNA of Lycium barbarum (goji berry), 1457 nucleotides long. RefSeq lists it as uncharacterized. Lineage: Eukaryota; Viridiplantae; Streptophyta; Magnoliopsida; Solanales; Solanaceae. The record is from RefSeq and is a predicted model, not a curated record. The transcript has 3 exons.